ACAUGUCGUCCGUCGAGAACAGGAAGACAUGCCCUUAAUCGACAAGCCCCACCCCCUGAAGGGCUGAACGCAAGGCUUCGAAUAAAAAGUUUGAAGGCUAAAGCUUGUCCGACAAAAAGCAAAUCCUCCCCUGCAAAUCUUUGUUCUCCUCCUUGCUUUCUCGCUCGCUACCCCUUGAAUUCUCCCUCCCCGCCGCUACAGGAUUUCUAAAAGAGGUGGGAAACCUUGAGUAGGUUUUCCAUUCGGAGGUACUUUCCAUCUUUAUCUUCCCAACUCUCUUUGGAAGAUGCCCUUCUGAUUCGCGUAGAAGCAAUCUAGAAGGCGGAGGAGUCAUGUUGGAAGAUUAAGGGCUUUUUUUGCAGCUUUGUGAGAGAAAGUGUGGCGGUUCUCAACGCAGCUCAUUCUCCAUUGCUGAGGUUGAACAAGAGGGUUUUGAAGCUCUGAUGCUGAUGAGGGUGACGUUUUGGCCCUUUUCAUCCUUGUUUUCUUGUUUAGGGUAUAAAGUUCCUCAGAGAAUCUAAGGAAAUUAGUUCAACUAAGGUAGCAAAUUGUAGUGCCAUAUACAUAUAGAUGGGAUUCCUGUAACCUUUUAUCCUCGGUCUCCCUUAGUAGAAGCCAUGGAUUAUUAGGAUAACAUAGAGAAAGGGGGAGAUGUUAACCCUAGAAAUACCGAGGAGAAUGGGGUUAUUUGUGAAGUAACAAUUUCUACACAUAAGAUUUGAUUUGGCACCUCAACUAGACGAGCUUUGUCAAUCUUUUUCAAACAAACCACCAUGAGGAACAAUCGAACAACCCAUUUCAAUUUCACUCAAGAAGAAUCAUGAGAGAGAGAUAAAGGAGGCGGGGACCGAUUGGUAAGGCGUACCAGGUGUGGGAGAGCUCAUACAACUUGCCUCGAGGGAAGAAGAUGAUGAGGGCAACCAGAGCUCUAAGGCCUUCUUGAGGAGUCCAUUCCGGUGCUUGGAGAAGGUCAUCUGCCUACUUGUGGCAUUCUCGAUGCGCUUCAUCUAGGUCUUCUGCGAGCCACAAUUAAUAAACUGAAGCAAGAAAGAAGUGUCAAUACCAAGUUGAUCUUAAUCCGUGGAGGUCAGGAUGAUGUUUCUCUAUUUGAACAUUUUCUUAUCGAGGAGCAAGAUGCUGAUGGGGAGUCGACUCAUAAGUACAUUGGGUUUUGUUCCUUCAUUGAUUUGUUCCUUCAUUGAGGGGAUCACUCGGCAUGUUCUAGAAUUCAUGAAGCAAUUGCAGCAAACCUAUUUUGCGAUCUGCUAGUUGAUCUCCAGUUCGAUCCCUUUGUUCACUCCCGACACCACUGCCACCGUCUCCCCACUCCAUCAUUCUGAUCCCUUUGCUUCCUACAGUGGCGUAAAAGGAAUCAUGGAAGUAUAAACGAUCAGAACUCUUCUCCUCUUGGUGCUAGCUGAUUCAUUUGACAGAUGUUCUUUGGAGAUCAAGACACAAUAUAAAUGCUUUAAGAGAUCAGCCUAUUCUUUAGCUAGCCAAAGAGAUUAAUAAUGUUCAAGAGAAAAUGAUUUAAAUCUUA
Molecule: long non-coding RNA, 1540 nt
Organism: Nymphaea colorata (pocket water lily)
Lineage: Eukaryota; Viridiplantae; Streptophyta; Magnoliopsida; Nymphaeales; Nymphaeaceae
Exons: 3
Source: RefSeq, a predicted model, not a curated record